Molecule: long non-coding RNA, 476 nt
Filed under: Strongylocentrotus purpuratus (purple sea urchin)
Lineage: Eukaryota; Metazoa; Echinodermata; Echinoidea; Camarodonta; Strongylocentrotidae
Description: uncharacterized LOC115924467
Source: RNAcentral
AAUUGUAGGUGGAGCAGUCUACAAUGUAAGCUACCCCCCCUUCCUCAUCAGACAAUAGCCUUACUUUCCCGCCUUUUUGGGGGUACCUGUAUUGCCCAAUGUACUGAUACCCUAUAGGCAUGAUUGGGGAUCCUAUUGUAAGUUUUAGUGGAUGAGUGAUUUUCUUUUGUUCGGGGUCUGUGCACCCAGAGCUGCUAUAGCAGGGACAGAGAGACAUUGUAGAUUGGAGAGAGAGGAGAGAAGCACUAAUUUGUGCCUGCUAAUGGAGAUUGUUAUUUACUUCUGGCAGAUCACAAUUCAUGGCUGCAUGUGGUGAAAUCUCCUUAUUUUGAUGAACUACACUUUCUACAAUAAGGUGGAAGCUUUGUUUAUGAUCAGGGGUCGGACGACAGCAUAUAGCGUUAGUGUUGCUUCGUCGUUAUAGUAUUGGCCGGGGCUGUGUUUUCUUUGGUGAAUAAAUGCAAGACUAAAGUUUA